UCCGGCUUGACGCCGGCGGUCCCAUUAGAGUGCUCAACUGAAUGUUAGCAACUAAUGGCAGGGGUUGCGCUCGUUGCCGGACUUAACCGAACAUCUCACGACACGAGCUGACGACAGCCAUGCAGCACCUGUCUCGGAGUUCCUUACGGCACCCCACCAUCUCUGGCGGGUUCUCCGGAUGUCAAACCCAGGUAAGGUUUCUCGCGUUGCGUCGAAUUAAACCACAUGCUCCACCGCUUGUGCGGGCCCCCGUCUAUUCCUUUGAGUUUUAACCUUGCGGCCGUACUCCCCAGGCGGGAUACUUAAUGCGUUAGCGUCGGCACUGAAGGGAUCAAUUCCUCCAACGCCUAGUAUCCAUAGUUUACAGCGUGGACUAC
RNAcentral lists this unclassified non-coding RNA (377 nucleotides) under uncultured Pseudomonadota bacterium. RNAcentral's name for it is "uncultured proteobacterium contains 16S-23S intergenic spacer region". The record is from RNAcentral. Lineage: Bacteria; Pseudomonadati; Pseudomonadota.